UACAGAGGUCUUGAGCGUUGUUCGGAUUCAUUGGGCGUAAAGGGUGCGUAGGUGGCGCCGUAAGUCGGGUGUGAAAUUUCGGAGCUUAACUCCGAAACUGCAUUCGAUACUGCGGUGCUUGAGGACUGGAGAGGAGACUGGAAUUCAUGGUGUAGCAGUGAAAUGCGUAGAGAUCAUGAGGAAGACCAGUGGCGAAGGCGGGUCUCUGGACAGUUCCUGACACUGAGGAGCGAAAGCCAGGGGAGCAAACGGG
This 253-nucleotide ribosomal RNA is filed under the name uncultured bacterium. RNAcentral's name for it is "partial 16S ribosomal RNA". It matches the Rfam family "Bacterial small subunit ribosomal RNA", at positions 524 to 776 of the family's 1533-position model. The record is from RNAcentral.